Molecule: long non-coding RNA, 1058 nt
Organism: Puntigrus tetrazona (Sumatra barb)
Lineage: Eukaryota; Metazoa; Chordata; Actinopteri; Cypriniformes; Cyprinidae
Exons: 4
Source: RefSeq, a predicted model, not a curated record
GGCAUUGACGGCUACACCUCUCUCCAAACAGACCAGCACUACACACUACAUAGAAGAGAAGAAAGCACUGUUUAAACCAGUUCUACUGUGACCUGAGCUCUCAGAGACGCUGAUGGAUGCACAGUACUGGAUGUCCUGGGUAUAGUAAAGCUGUCCCACACAGGAAUUUACCUUAAGAGGCCCAUUUAUUUAUGAGACAGAAUAACAAACAUUUGGAUCAGGACGAGGUGGCUGCUGUGCCUGUGCGGACAGAUGGACAAACUGCAACAGAGAUUUGGAUCAGGCCUGGAUCUAUUCAAGCGAGUGUGACAUACAACACUGAGCCUCCCCUAAGUGCAAAGAGGAGUGCAGCAUUCAGAAAAGGCAUUAGGACUGAAUCCAGGUGCGUGAUGAAACAAAAGCCUUCAUGGUUUUGCAGCAAAAUAUCUUUUCAAAGCAACGAGGAAGUCAAUCCGCUGCCAGUACAUUCUUCCUAAAGCUUUCUGAUUUACUCAACUGGCCAUCGCUGCAGAGCCCUUCUGGAGAGCGAGGAGGAAGCCUGCUCCUUAUUAAAACCUUCUUUUUAUCGCCUUUUUACAGCUGAAAAAAUAACCAGAUGUUUCUGAAUUUGAGCAUUUGCAAGUAAAGAGGUUUUCACCAGAAGAAAAGAAACGCAUCACUCUCUGUCUGCCCUGAAGGUGACUCCGUGGAAAUGCUUCUAUUCUCUUCCUCCUCUCACUCUCGUCACAACAAAGACUAUAGUUUAACCCCAAAAGAGAGGAUUCUUAAAUGGUAAAGAUUUAAAAUUUAAGUUGAUUUUAGUUGAUUGAAAUUACUGAAAUUUUAUUACAACGUUUUAAUUUAGUAUUUAGUAUAUAAUUUAGUUGACUGCUUUGAUCUCUGAAGCUGAAUUUUCAGCAGUCAUCACUUUUGUGUCACAAAAAAAUAGAAAUUCUAUGCUGCAUUUAUUUAUUAUCAUUUAUUAUCAAUGUUGUGCUACUUAAUAUUUACGUGGGGACUGUGAUGUUUUAAAGUUUUGUUUUAUGAAUUUAAAGAAAAUAAAGAACUGUAAUUUAUUA